GCUCAGCGCUGCCAUCUUCGCGCGCGCGCGCCCGCUAAGCCCCGCCCACCCCCCGCUAAGCCCCGCCCACAAGCGCGCGCGCGCGAAAAAGAGGCGUGGUUUUUUCCCGCGUGACACGUGACCGGAUAAUGGGCGGGGAUUAAAGGAGCGGUGGUGGGGGGGGGACCCUGAUUUUGGGGUGAAAAGAGGCAAUUUUGGGGGUGAAGUGGGUCCAUAUUUGGGGGGGAGAUGACUGUGAUGGGGGUCAAGGGAUCCAAUGUGAGAAAAGACCCCGUUUUGGGGUGAAAAGAGCCCAUUUUGGGGACAAAGACCCCAAUUUUGGGACAAGAAGCUCCAUUUUGGGGCCCAAACCCCCCAUUUUGGGGCCAAAACCCCCAUUUUGGGGCCAAAACCCCCCAUUUUGGGGCCAAAACCCCCAUUUGGGGGCCAAAACCCCCCAUUUUGGGACAAGAAGCUCCAUUUUGGGGCAAAACAUCUCCAUUUUGGGGCCCAAACCCCCCAUUUUGGGUAUAGAAUACCCCAUUUUGGUGACAAAAACCCCCAUUUUGGGGCCAAAAACCCCCAUUUUGGGACAAGAGGCUCCAUUUUGGGGACAAAAACCCCCAUUUUGGGGCCAAAACCCCUCAUUUUGGGACAAGAAGCUCCAUUUUGGGGCAAAAAGUCUCCAUUUUGGGGCCCAAACCCCCCAUUUUGGGUAUAGAAGACCCCAUUUUGGGGCCAAAACCCCCCAUUUUGGGUAUAGAAGACCCCAUUUUGGGGCCAAAACCCCCAUUUGGGGGCCAAACCCCCCCAUUUGGGGGCCAAAAACCCCCCAUUUUGGGUAUAGAAGACCCUAUUUUGGGUAUAGAAGACCCCAUUUUGGGGCCAAAACCCCCCAUUUUGGGUAU
RNAcentral lists this long non-coding RNA (887 nucleotides) under Coturnix japonica (Japanese quail). RNAcentral's name for it is "lncRNA (ENSCJPG00005002154.1)". The record is from RNAcentral. Lineage: Eukaryota; Metazoa; Chordata; Aves; Galliformes; Phasianidae.